This 1557-nucleotide ribosomal RNA is filed under the name Paraphysomonas bandaiensis. RNAcentral's name for it is "partial Bacterial small subunit ribosomal RNA". It matches the Rfam family "Bacterial small subunit ribosomal RNA". The record is from RNAcentral. Lineage: Eukaryota; Chrysophyceae; Chromulinales; Paraphysomonadaceae.
AGUGAGUUUGAUCCUGGCUCAGGGUGAACGCUAAUAACAUGGUUUAACAUAUGCUAGUUAAAGUUUUUAUAACUUAGCGUACAGGUGAGUAAAGACUAAAAAUUUUACCUUAAAUUUUAAAUAAAUCAACAUUAGAGUUUUCUAAUAAAUACUUUGUAUUGAAAAUAUUUAAAUAAAAAGAUAUAACAUUGAUUUAAGAUUGUUUUAGUUUAAUAUUAGGUAGUUGGUUAGGUAAAAGCUACCCAAGCCUAUGAUGUUUAACUGGUUUGAGAAAAUGUACAGUCACACUGGGACUGAGAUAAGGCCCAGGCUUCGUGCCAGCAGUGUGGAAUCUUGGACAAUGAGCGAAAGCUUGAUCCAGUGAUGUUAUGUAAACGAGGCCAACACAAAAGAGGAUUAAAGUGAUUUAUGACUCGGUUGUAAAGUUUUAAAUUUAAAAAAUGAGUUUGACGUUUUUUUUAAAAAAGCCCCGGCUAACUUCGUGCCAGCAGCCGCGGUAAUACGAAGGGGGUAGGCGUUAUCCGGAAUGAUUGGGCGUAAAGGGUUCGUAGGUGGAUUUAGUUAUUUAAAGGAAAAUAUUUUGGGUAACACUAAAUAAUUCUUAUAAUAUACUUCUUCUUGAGUUUUGUAAAGGAUAAUAGAAUUUUAUAAAUAGGAGUAAAAUCCUGAGAUUUAUAAAGGAAUGCCAGUGGCGAAAGCGGUUAUCUAGACUUAUACUGACACUGAGGAACGAAAGCAUAGGGAGCAAACAGGAUUUGAUACCCUGGUAGUCUAUGCUGUCAAAGAUGAGUGUUAAUACAAAAGGAAAUUUUUGUAUACAGCUAACGCGUAAACACUCCGCCUGGGGAGUACGGUUGCAAAACUGGAACCCAAAGGAAUUGACGGGGGUCUACACAAGUGGUGGAGCAUGUGGUUUAAUGCGAUAAUACGCGCGAAACCUUACCAGUUUUUGUAUAUUAAUUUUUUUUGUUGAAAAACAAAAUAUUUAAAAAAUAUAAAUAUAGUUAAUUUUUAAAAGUGUUAAUACAGGUGUUGCAUGGCUGUCGUCAGUUCGUGCCGUGAGGUGUUUGGUUAACUCCUUUAACGAACGUAACUCUUAUUUUAUGUUAGAUAUUUCUUAUUUAGAAGUAAAUAAAAGUCUGCUCAUAAAAAACUGCUUUUAAUAAAAUUGAGGAAGGCGAGAAUCACGUCAAGCCCUUACGGCCCUUAUAAACUGGGCUACACAUGUGCUACAAUAGAAAACUCAAAAAGUUGUACCAUAAAGUAAUUUAAAGUAAAUCUUUAACAUUUUCUGUGUUCGGAAUAGUGGCUGCAACUCGCCAUUAUGAAGGAGGAAUCACGAGUAAUCGUAUAUCAGCAUGCUACGGUGAAUAUGUGCUUAGAUCUUGUACACACCGCCCGUCACGUGCUGGGAGCAAGUUUGGUUUGAAAUAUUUAAUAAUUUAGUAGAUGAUUUAAUAAUUUCUUUAAAAUAGUUUUUAAGUUUUUUAUUAAUAAAAAGAAUAGUAUUAUCAGAUUUGUAACCGGGAUGAAGUCGUAACAAGGUAGUCGUACGGG